CCGGCCCCAACUUGCCCAAAUCCAGCUGGAGCCACCGGCGCGACCAGAGGGCAUCACCGGAAACCCCUCCGGGGCGGGCGGCGGGGCGCGGGGAGACCAGGGCGGGCCACCCUUCCCCGCCCCGCCCCGCGCCCCGCCCACGGGACCCGGACCGCGCCCUCAACCCCAGGCCCCGCGGCCACCCUGGACAGCUCCUGACUGACCGACCUGAGAGACACAGAGACAGAGACAGAGACAGAGAGAUUGAGAGGAUCCGAGACACGGACCCAGACAGACACCCACCGGGACAGACACACAGACGCUCACGCUGACGCAGAGAGGCCCUGCCCAAGAGGCAGCUUCCCCACAGGAGGGCGGUGGUGCUUGAGCUGGGCCCGGGCAAGGAGGCGGGGGCCCUGGGGCUGGCGAUCACCCCUGGGGCCCUGGGACGUGCAGACAGGGUCUCAGGAGUGCAGCGCUCCUGGGAUCCCUGUCCCGCGACCCGGACGCCCAGGAGCCACGGACUGGCAGCCGGGCUCGGGCUCGCUCUCGCUCUCGCUCUCGCUCUCGCUCUCGCUCUCGCUCUGUGUGUGUGCGUUUUUGUGUGCGCCUGCGUGUCUGUGUCUGUUUGUGUGUUUCUUUCCUUCUCUCUUCGCCUCUUCGUUCUGGCUCUUUUCCUCUUUCUGCGGGGCGCCCCCGGACUUCCUGAGUUGACAGAACGACCAGCCAGAAAAGUCAGGACACGGAGAACUUCGCCCGAGAAACCAACGCAAUCUACCAGACGUACAGAACCCCCUCCCCGACGACCACAGCGUCCACAGUCUGCUCGAGUGCAGGGCGAAAGAAACUUUGGUAAUAUAUUUCUUUAAAUCUUGGCUCAUGGAUCCAAACAAAUCUGAUUCAGGAAAUAGUUUACGAUUCAAGUGCAUCCUAAAGUUGGAGCAACCCUGGCUAGAAUAUCAUAGAUCCUUGAGUUGGCAGAGACCUUUCACUCUUCAGUAUAUUUAUAUUCAACGCAAAGAUCCUUCCUUCUAUAUCAUCCUUGACAACAGACCACCUAGAUUCUGUGUAAAUAAUUCCGAUGACAAGAAACGCAUUAAAUAAAGAGACCCCUUUGUUUUUAGAGUUUUAAAUGUUU
RNAcentral lists this long non-coding RNA (1117 nucleotides) under Equus asinus (donkey). RNAcentral's name for it is "lncRNA (ENSEASG00005027985.1)". Lineage: Eukaryota; Metazoa; Chordata; Mammalia; Perissodactyla; Equidae. The record is from RNAcentral.